RNAcentral lists this long non-coding RNA (1135 nucleotides) under Cicer arietinum (chickpea). Its description in RNAcentral is "long non-coding RNA (CARI_LNC000132)". The record is from RNAcentral. Lineage: Eukaryota; Viridiplantae; Streptophyta; Magnoliopsida; Fabales; Fabaceae.
CCUAAACGGUGAGCUAGAAGAGGAGGUGUAUAUGCAAAUACCUCCCGGGCUUGAAUCACAUGACACCUCAAACAUGGUAUGCAAACUCCAUAAAUCCCUCUAUGGCUUGCUCAACUCAGUCCGGGUCCUAUUAUCAUUGGCAGCAAAUCUAGAUUGGCCCCUACACCAAUUAGAUAUAAAGAAUGCCUUCCUAAACGGUGAGCUAGAAGAGGAGGUGUAUAUGCAAAUACCUCCCGGGCUUGAAUCACAUGACACCUCAAACAUGGUAUGCAAACUCCAUAAAUCCCUCUAUGGCUUGAAACAAUCUCCAAGAGCAUGGUUUGAUAGACUAACAAGAGUUGUCAGGGAAGAUGGCUUUGCCUAAUGCCAAACAAACCACACUAUGUUUGUUAAGCACUCUCCGGAGGGAAGAAUAGCCUUAUUUAUUGUCUAUGUUGAUGAUAUUGUUAUUACAGGAGAUGAUCAUGAUCAAAUCAGCCACCUCAAGAGUAUCUUAACCGAAGAAUUUGAAGUCAAAGAUUUGGGCCAACUCAAGUACUUUCUAGGAAUGGAAAUUGCUCGGACAAGGGAUGGUAUUUGUGUUUCUCAAAGGAAAUACACUUUGGAUUUACUCAAAGAAACAGGGAUGCUUGGAUGCAAAGUUGCCAAUACUCCGGUAGAACCCAUGAAACAAAGUGAAGAAAGUGUACCUGCUGAUAAGGAUAGAUAUCAAAGCUUAGUUGGAAAACUAAUCUAUCUAACUCACACUAGAAUGAUAUUGUUAUUACAGGAGAUGAUCAUGAUCAAAUCAGCCACCUCAAGAGUAUCUUAACCGAAGAAUUUGAAGUCAAAGAUUUGGGCCAACUCAAGUACUUUCUAGGAAUGGAAAUUGCUCGGACAAGGGAUGGUAUUCGUGUUUCUCAAAGGAAAUACACUUUGGAUUUACUCAAAGAAACAGGGAUGCUUGGAUGCAAAGUUGCCAAUACUCCGGUAGAACCCAUGAAACAAAGUGAAGAAGAAAGUGUACCUGCUGAUAAGGAUAGAUACCAAAGCUUAGUUGGAAAACUAAUCUAUCUAACUCACACUAGACCAGAUAUUGGUUUUGCUGUGAGCUUGGCUAGUCACUACAUGUCCAACCCAACUGAGACUCACAUGA